This 365-nucleotide ribosomal RNA is filed under the name uncultured bacterium. RNAcentral describes it as "bacterial SSU rRNA". It matches the Rfam family "Bacterial small subunit ribosomal RNA", at positions 434 to 793 of the family's 1533-position model. The record is from RNAcentral.
CAGCAGUGAGGAAGGUGGAUAUGUUAAUAGCAUAUUCAUUUGACGUUAGCUGCAGAAGAAGCACCGGCUAACUCCGUGCCAGCAGCCGCGGUAAUACGGAGGGUGCGAGCGUUAAUCGGAAGUUACUGGGCGUAAAGACGCAUGCAGGUGGUUUGUUAAGUCAGAUGUGAAGACCCGGGCGUCAGCCUCGGAAUUGCAUUUGAAACUGGCAAACUAGAGUACUGUAGAGGGGGUAGAAUUUCAGGUGUAGCGGUGAAAUGCGUAGAGAUCUGAAGGAAUACCGGUGGCGAAGGCGGCCCCCUGGACAGAUACUGACACUCAGAUGCGAAAGCGUGGGGAGCAAACAGGAUUAGAUACCCUGGUAG